GCUUAGAAAACAGAGAGGGUGAGAGAGACGGACUCCGAGUCUUGACCUAAUGAUCAGAGAAAUAAUCAAGAAAAAACGGAGAAUGAACAACGAGAAGAUUGAAUUUGGAGGACUGUUUAUGUGUCUGAGAAAUAUCUCGCAGCGCUAUUCGUUACUUCUGGGCAAAAUUUGUUUUGCGUUUAUCGAGUUCACUGAUGAAGGUAGUGUGGGUUGCCCAUAUGCCGAGAUUAUGAAGACUUAUAUGUUGCAGUUAUGGUGCGCAGGCUAGCUGCUUCGAGUCUUGCCGGGACAAUGCUUGGAUGAGGGUGCAUGUUGCCUUCUAACACAGCUAUUGCACAUGUUAGCCCAACAGAGAUUCUAGCUCGAAGGUUUUACCUUUCGAUUUUUGUUCUCAAGAAUUUAUUUGAUCUUAGGAAAAUCAAAUUGUCAAAUUGUGUGUGUUUGUCUGGGGUGUGAGAAAGUAAGAGUGAGUUUAGAAUUGGAGGUGUGUACUCUGAUCAUUUAACCUUUACUUGGAAUUAUAUUGAAAAACAAACUUAGUGAGCUAUAGAUGGCUUGGAAAAUUUGGUGAAAGAGACUCACAGGGUGCUGUACUGUAUAUGAAUAUUUCUUGAAAUGUAGUCAUAUAUAUGCUUCUUCUUUUUUUAUCUUGCUUCCAAAUAUGCAUGCAAUUUGCUUCGACAAGGAAUGAAACAAUUAAUAAUGAACUCAGAGACCCCUAAAGCUAAAGCGUUGGAGAAGGUGGAGGAUAAGUCCAAAUGAGAACUCUGCAGCAUUGGCUUUUAUCAUUAAUGAGAUUUCACUCGCUUACACUUUAGAGGGCAAAAACAAUACUUAAUAAGUCAGUAACUGGGAGUGUAGCUGCAGACGGGAUGUGCAAGUCACCUUCUAAAGAUCAAUCUCUUACUGCAAAUGGAAGCAAGCCACGAUUUACAGGAGACUGGUUAUUGAGCGAAGGAGAAGAGGACGGCUUUGGAUCUGGGUCUGUUUUAGCUUCCUGCAAGUGCAAUGGGUAAUUGGGAAACUGUUACUGUGAAUAUCAAGAGUCCUUUUUUGUUUGCUAUGAAUCUGGUUUUGUGUACUUCGUCAGUUUGGUUGUGUAUGUCUUCAAAUUAGGUAUGCAUGUAGUUCUUCUGUUUUGUCACUUUGAGUAGUUGAAUGAAGUUGAAUAGCUUUUUUAGUAUUAUUGUCCAUUUGUCCCUAUGUAUCAAAAUCAACCUUGCACCAAUUGUGUUGUUAAAUUCUUGAAUCUUUCAUUUUCUUGAGUUGGGUAGUCUCCGUGGUGGUCACAUUAACCCUUCUAAGCAAGGACCCAACCUACAUCUUAUUUUUAUUUCAGCACUGUUUAUAUCUACAAACUUGAGUAGUUGUUUAUAGCUAAACACUGUGAUUGUUUUAUGUGUAUCUGGUUGGAGAACAAAACUGGAAGCAGGGUAGAAGAUUAAAAGGCUGCUGCUAUGAAUAGAGAUAGCAAGAUGCUCCGAUAGGGGUAAUUGAAGCAAAUGAGAAGCAUAGAUAUCAACUUGAGGAGGCCAUUAGUAACAUAGCUGCAUUUUCUCUCCCAGUAUUUGGUUGUUGUUACUUUGCAUUUCUUUUCCUUUUUGUACUCAUCAAGAGUUCUAUAGCUGGACCAGAAUGUUCUAUUUUUGUCGAAUUAUUAGUCUAUUACGUAUAAAAUUCAUGAAAAAAGAACCAAACCCGCAGCAAAGCGCUGACGCUUUUUCUAGUGCAUAUUAUUGGAGGGUUGUUA
Molecule: long non-coding RNA, 1750 nt
Organism: Rosa rugosa (rugosa rose)
Lineage: Eukaryota; Viridiplantae; Streptophyta; Magnoliopsida; Rosales; Rosaceae
Exons: 5
Source: RefSeq, a predicted model, not a curated record